Molecule: ribosomal RNA, 188 nt
Filed under: uncultured bacterium
Lineage: Bacteria
Description: partial 16S ribosomal RNA
Rfam family: Bacterial small subunit ribosomal RNA
Source: RNAcentral
CCUACGGGAGGCAGCAGUAGGGAAUAUUGGUCAAUGGGUGCAAGCCUGAACCAGCCAUGCCGCGUGCAGGAAGACGGCCUUCUGGGUUGUAAACUGCUUUUUUCGGGGGAUAAAACGCCCAUGCGUGGGAGCUUGAAGGUACCCGAAGAAUAAGCCACGGCUAACUACGUGCCAGCAGCCGCGGUAAU